Molecule: long non-coding RNA, 2199 nt
Filed under: Brassica napus (rape)
Lineage: Eukaryota; Viridiplantae; Streptophyta; Magnoliopsida; Brassicales; Brassicaceae
Description: long non-coding RNA (BNAP_LNC007641)
Source: RNAcentral
AUCAUUUUGAGGCAGAGAUAAGGGCGAAAGUGAGAGGGAAGAAACCAACCAUUGCUGAGGUUAAAAUAGCCAUCCAUCAAAUCAUAUAUAAUAAUAAACUCUAGUUCCGAGAUUCUAACCUUAAUGAUGCAACUUUAGAGAAGGACAUGUGAUCGCUUAUCUAAUUUUAGCGUCGUCUAUGCUACAUUUUCAGUUUUACUUACAUAUACAAAAUAUUGUCUAUGUUACUAUAUGGUGUGAAUUUAAGUCGAAUUAAUAAAUACAAAAACAAAAAUUAGUAAUUAAAAUUAAAGCAAAAUACCCACUUAGAUUAUUGUUUUAUUAAUAGUGUGAGUUAACAAGUAAUAAUCAUUACUUGUAUAUAUAUAUAUAUAUAUUAGGGCCGAUCCGCGCUACGCGCGGGAUGUCUAUAUUUAUGUUACGAAAAUUUGUAUUUUAUUUUGUUGGGUUUGUGGUUUUAAAUAUAUGAUUGUUUAUGCAUAUGGCAUUUGGAAUUUUUAUUUUAUUUAUGUUUUUUAACUAAUUAAUAAUAUAGAUUACUGAAGUUUAAGAAAAUACGCUGUAAAUUUUUUGACGAUAUUAGUUUCUUUCUAAUAUAUUAGAGUUUUAAAUUUUUUUUAGUGUUUUUUUUUCUUGUUAUGACAUCUUUUUUGUUUUUUUUUUUGAAAAAUAAUGAGAUAAAUCGAUAUAUCUUACUAUCAAAUUGGAGUAUUAAAUGGUGUAUGAUAUAUUCAAGUAUUAAGACUUUUAGUAAAAAAAUCGACUUGGUUGUAUCUGUUAUUAACAUCAUAUAAUAUUAGACUAAAUAAAUAUUAUUCGGAAACUUUAAAUUAAAUUUUUCGUAUGGCCUAAUUACAAUAGCCUAAUUAAGAAGGCUUACGUGUGUAAUGGGCCUUAAACUUAAGACGAUGAAAAACUUUAACAAACCUAAAAUCUAUAUUUGGAAAUAAGGUUGUGUGCGCAGCUAUUUUUUCCUUUAUGGAGCGACCAACAGUAAAAUACGAACACGUAUUCUAGGGAUUUCUUGUGUUUUUAAGGUAGUUUAUUGUUAUAUGUUUUGUUGAACUUUAUUUUGUGAUAUAAAUUUACAUAGCUUGAUAUAGUAUAUAUAAAUCUAUCGUCAAUUAUAUAUGAAAAAAUGUUUAUAAGAUAUUGCUUAUAUUGCUCAUAUUUUUACAGAUCCAAUAAGUUUAUGUAGUUCAGAUAUAUUAUAUACAAGAUAUGAGCCGUUGCGUUGCAACGGGUUUUUGUUUGAUGUUUUAAUUUAAUAAAAACCAUAAAAUUUUAAAUCAUUUUAUUAUAGUAUUAUGAUUGUUGUUUGCAUAUAUUGUUUGAUAUUUAUUUUAUAAUUAAAACUCGUUAUUUUACACUUCUCAUGUCACAACCCACAAGUCUUCUUUCAGAUUCAGUUUCCACAUCUUCUUACGUUCAAUCAUCGUUUGUCUCGUGGAGAGUUGAGAAUGUCAAAGAGCAUCAGCAAUAUCAGCGAGUGGAGAAAGCGGCGUGGUCAUCGUCGCAAUGGAUGCUCAAACACAUAAUCUUGAAAGUUCCUUUCCUCCACGACAACACUAAAAAUAAGAGGCUACCGCGAGAAGAGCUUAACCAUGUGGUGGCCGAGCGACGCAGAAGAGAGAAGCUAAAUGAGAGAUUCAUAACGUUGAGAUCAUUGGUUCCAUUUGUGACCAAGAUGGAUAAAGUCUCGAUCCUUGGAGACACCAUUGAAUACGUAAACCAUCUUUCUAAGAGGAUACAUGAGCUGGAAUCUACUCAUCACGAGCCAAACCAAAAGCGGAUGCGUAUCGGUAAGGGAAGAACUUGGGAAGAGGUGGAGGUUUCCAUUAUAGAGAGCGAUGUUUUGUUAGAGAUGAGAUGCGAGUACCGAGAUGGUUUAUUGCUCAACAUUCUUCAGGUACUUAAGGAGCUGGGUAUAGAGACCACUGCCGUUCACACUGCCUUGAACGACAAUCAUUUUGAGGCAGAGAUAAGGGCGAAAGUGAGAGGGAAGAAACCAACCAUUGCUGAGGUUAAAAUAGCCAUCCAUCAAAUCAUAUAUAAUAAUAAACUCUAGUUCCGAGAUUCUAACCUUAAUGAUGCAACUUUAGAGAAGGACAUGUGAUCGCUUAUCUAAUUUUAGCGUCGUCUAUGCUACAUUUUCAGUUUUACUUACAUAUACAAAAUAUUGUCUAUGUUACUAUAUGG